UACAGAGGGGGCAAGCGUUGUUCGGAAUUACUGGGCGUAAAGGGCGCGUAGGCGGCCGCCUAAGUCAGACGUGAAAUCCCUCGGCUCAACCGGGGAACUGCGUCUGAUACUGGAUGGCUUGAAUCCGGGAGAGGGAUGCGGAAUUCCAGGUGUAGCGGUGAAAUGCGUAGAUAUCUGGAGGAACACCGGUGGCGAAGGCGGCAUCCUGGACCGGCAUUGACGCUGAUGAGCGAAAGCCAGGGGAGCAAACGGG
This 253-nucleotide ribosomal RNA is filed under the name uncultured bacterium. Its description in RNAcentral is "partial 16S ribosomal RNA". It matches the Rfam family "Bacterial small subunit ribosomal RNA", at positions 524 to 776 of the family's 1533-position model. The record is from RNAcentral.